AGAGUUUGAUCCUGGCUCAGAUUGAACGCUGGCGGCAUGCCUUACACAUGCAAGUCGAACGGCAGCACGGGGGCAACCCUGGUGGCGAGUGGCGAACGGGUGAGUAAUAUAUCGGAACGUACCCUAGAGUGGGGGAUAACGUAGCGAAAGUUACGCUAAUACCGCAUACGAUCUACGGAUGAAAGUGGGGGCUCGCAAGACCUCAUGCUCAUGGAGCGGCCGAUAUCUGAUUAGCUAGUUGGUGAGGUAAAGGCUCACCAAGGCGACGAUCAGUAGCUGGUCUGAGAGGACGACCAGCCACACUGGGACUGAGACACGGCCCAGACUCCUACGGGAGGCAGCAGUGGGGAAUUUUGGACAAUGGGGGCAACCCUGAUCCAGCAAUGCCGCGUGAGUGAAGAAGGCCUUC
This 409-nucleotide ribosomal RNA is filed under the name uncultured bacterium. RNAcentral's name for it is "bacterial SSU rRNA". It matches the Rfam family "Bacterial small subunit ribosomal RNA", at positions 8 to 419 of the family's 1533-position model. The record is from RNAcentral.